Molecule: RNase MRP RNA, 249 nt
Filed under: Mytilus galloprovincialis (Mediterranean mussel)
Lineage: Eukaryota; Metazoa; Mollusca; Bivalvia; Mytilida; Mytilidae
Description: RNase MRP
Rfam family: RNase MRP
About the family: RNase MRP is an enzymatically active ribonucleoprotein with two distinct roles in eukaryotes. In mitochondria it plays a direct role in the initiation of mitochondrial DNA replication.
Source: Rfam by way of RNAcentral
GUACUUCUCCAAUACUUGCUAAUUGAGGCUACGAACUGAGACCCAGUGUCUCCAAAAGCCUUGGGAAAAGUCCCCAGACCAAGGGCAGAAAGUGUCCAGCAGUAGUACACUGCAUCCUGGCCCAAGUCCUCUUUACCAGCCGUGAGGUCUUUGGACUGAGCUGAGGAUGGGUCAGGUGUUAGUCAUAGCACAGUCAUGCAAGUACUACCUAUGGGGUAGGAACUCAAUGGGGCUUAGUCAGGGGAAGUG